This 419-nucleotide ribosomal RNA is filed under the name uncultured Gemmatimonas sp. RNAcentral's name for it is "bacterial SSU rRNA". It matches the Rfam family "Bacterial small subunit ribosomal RNA", at positions 355 to 774 of the family's 1533-position model. Lineage: Bacteria; Pseudomonadati; Gemmatimonadota; Gemmatimonadia; Gemmatimonadales; Gemmatimonadaceae. The record is from RNAcentral.
UGGGGAAUCUUGCGCAAUGGCCGAAAGGCUGACGCAGCGACGCCGCGUGGGGGAUGAAGGUUUUCGGAUCGUAAACCCCUGUUGCCCGGGACGAAACGCCUUUUUCGAGAGGCUUGACGGUACCGGGUGAGGAAGCACCGGCUAACUUCGUGCCAGCAGCCGCGGUAAUACGAAGGGUGCGAGCGUUGUCCGGAAUCACUGGGCGUAAAGGGCGCGUAGGCGGCUGGGGAAGUCCGUGGUGAAAGCUCGUGGCUCAACUGCGAGUCGGCCAUGGAUACUCCUCGGCUUGAGCACUGUAGAGGCAGGUGGAAUUCCGGGUGUAGCGGUGGAAUGCGUAGAGAUCCGGAAGAACACCGGUGGCGAAGGCGGCCUGCUGGGCAGUAGCUGACGCUGAGGCGCGACAGCGUGGGGAGCAAACA